CUAGUUGUGACCGUAAACGAUGCCAACCAGCGAUUCGGCGACGUUCUUUUUAUGACUCGCUGAGCAGCUUCCGGGAGACCAAAGUGUUUCGGUUCCGGGGGAAGUAUGGUUGCAAAGCUGAAACUUAAAGGAAUUGACGGAAGGGCACCACCAGGAGUGGAGCAUGCGGCUUAAUUUGACUCAACACGGGAAAACUCACCCGUCCCGAACACUGUGAGGAUUGACAGAUCAAGAGCUCUUUCUUGAUUCAGUGGGUAGUGGUGCAUGGCCGUUCUUAGUUGGUGGAGCGAUUUGUCUGGCUAAUUCCGAUAACGAACGAGACUCUGGCCUACUAACUAGCGGCGGUAUUCACGUCUCCUGCGCGACGCCGCGCUGCGUCACGGCGCGGCUGAACACAGUCGUCGUCGUCGUCGCCGUUUGCGCGAGCGCUCCGCGGAGCACUUGCAGUGCCGGUAGCCGCUUCUUAGAGGGACCAGCGACACUUUCGCAAGCCGCACGAGAAAGAGCAAUAACAGGUCUGUGAUGCCCUUAGAUGUACGGGGCUGCACGCGUGCUACACUGACGGCGUCAGCGUGCGUUCAAGCCCGGCCUGGCAAGGCCAGGAAAUCGGUUGAAACGUUCUCGUGACUGGGACAGGGAAUUGCAAUUAUUUCCCUCGAACGAGGAAUUCCCAGUAAGCGCGAGUCAUCAGCUUGCGUUGAUUA
RNAcentral lists this ribosomal RNA (704 nucleotides) under Trichuris trichiura (human whipworm). Its description in RNAcentral is "bacterial SSU rRNA". It matches the Rfam family "Eukaryotic small subunit ribosomal RNA", at positions 1020 to 1647 of the family's 1831-position model. Lineage: Eukaryota; Metazoa; Nematoda; Enoplea; Trichinellida; Trichuridae. The record is from RNAcentral.